GUGGGGAAUAUUGCACAAUGGGCGAAAGCCUGAUGCAGCAACGCCGCGUGAGGGACGACGGCCUUCGGGUUGUAAACCUCUUUUAGUAGGGAAGAAGCGAAAGUGACGGUACCUGCAGAAAAAGCACCGGCUAACUACGUGCCAGCAGCCGCGGUAAUACGUAGGGUGCAAGCGUUAUCCGGAAUUAUUGGGCGUAAAGAGCUCGUAGGCGGUCUGUCGCGUCUGCUGUGAAAACUGGAGGCUCAACCUCCAGCCUGCAGUGGGUACGGGCAUACUAGAGUGCGGUAGGGGAGAUUGGAAUUCCUGGUGUAGCGGUGGAAUGCGCAGAUAUCAGGAGGAACACCGAUGGCGAAGGCAGAUCUCUGGGCCGUAACUGACGCUGAGGAGCGAAAGCGUGGGGAGCGAACAGGAUUAGAAACCCCAGUAGUCC
This 430-nucleotide ribosomal RNA is filed under the name uncultured bacterium. RNAcentral's name for it is "partial 16S ribosomal RNA". It matches the Rfam family "Bacterial small subunit ribosomal RNA", at positions 354 to 796 of the family's 1533-position model. The record is from RNAcentral.